GACGAACGCUGGCGGCGUGCCUAAUACAUGCAAGUCGAGCGCUGAAGGUUGGUUCUUGUACCAACUGGGUGAGCAGCGCACGGGUGAGUAACGCGUGGGGAAUCUCCCUUUGAGCGGGGGACAACAUUUGGAAACGAAUGCUAAUACCGCAUAAAAACAUCAAACACAAGAUUUAAGUUUGAAAGAUGCAAUUGCAUCACUCAAAGUAGAUCCCGCGUUGUAUUAGCUAGUUGGUGAGGGAAAGGCUCACCAAGGCGAUGAUACAUAGCCGACCUGAGAGGAUGAUCAGCCGCAGUGGGAAGGAGACAAGGCGCAAACUCGGACGGGAGGCAGCGGUAGGGAAUCUUCGGCAAGCGGCGGAAGUCUGACCGAGGAAAGCCGCGAGAGUGUAGAAGGGUAUCGGAUCGUGAAACUCGGUUGGUAGAGAAGAGCGUUGGGGAGAGUGGAGAGCUCAUCAAGUGACGGUAUCUACGGAGAAAGGGACGGCUAACUACGUG
RNAcentral lists this ribosomal RNA (497 nucleotides) under uncultured bacterium. RNAcentral describes it as "partial 16S ribosomal RNA". It matches the Rfam family "Bacterial small subunit ribosomal RNA", at positions 28 to 507 of the family's 1533-position model. The record is from RNAcentral.